GAGUUUGAUCUUGGCUCAGGACGAACGCUGGCGGCGUGCUUAACACAUGCAAGUGGAGCGACGAACCAGGGCUUGCCCUGGGGCAAAGCCGCGAACGGGUGAGUAACACGUGGGUAACCUGCCCCGAUGACUGGGACAACCCGAGGAAACUCGGGCUAAUACCAGAUGAGCUCCUGCCACAUGAGUGGCUUGAGGAAAGGAAGCUUCGGCCUCCGCAUCGGGAUGGGCCCGCGGCCCAUUAGCUUGUUGGUGAGGUAACGGCUCACCAAGGCUUCGAUGGGUAGCUGGUCUGAGAGGACGAUCAGCCACACUGGGACUGAGACACGGCCCAGACUCCUACGGGAGGCAGCAGUGGGGAAUCUUGCGCAAUGCGCGAAAGCGUGACGCAGCAACGCCGCGUGCGGGAAGACGGCCUCGG
This 418-nucleotide ribosomal RNA is filed under the name uncultured bacterium. Its description in RNAcentral is "bacterial SSU rRNA". It matches the Rfam family "Bacterial small subunit ribosomal RNA", at positions 9 to 420 of the family's 1533-position model. The record is from RNAcentral.